AUUGAACGCUGGCGGCAGGCUUAACACAUGCAAGUCGAGCGGGGUGAUGGUGCUUGCACUAUCACUUAGCGGCGGACGGGUGAGUAAUGCUUAGGAAUCUGCCUAUUAGUGGGGGACAACAUCUCGAAAGGGAUGCUAAUACCGCAUACGUCCUACGGGAGAAAGCAGGGGAUCACUUGUGACCUUGCGCUAAUAGAUGAGCCUAAGUCGGAUUAGCUAGUUGGUGGGGUAAAGGCCUACCAAGGCGACGAUCUGUAGCGGGUCUGAGAGGAUGGUCCGCCAAACUGGGACUGAGACAAGGUCCCGACUCCUACGGGAGGCAGGAGUGGGGGAUAUUGGACAAUGGGGGGAACCCUGAUCCAGCCAUGCCGCGUGUGUGAAGAAGGCCUUAUGGUUGUAAAGCACUUUAAGCAAGGAGGAGGCUCUUUUGGUUAAUACCCAAGAUGAGUGGACGUUACUCGCAGAAUAAGCACCGGCUAACUCUGUGCCAGCCGCCGCGGUAA
Molecule: ribosomal RNA, 503 nt
Filed under: uncultured bacterium
Lineage: Bacteria
Description: partial 16S ribosomal RNA
Rfam family: Bacterial small subunit ribosomal RNA
Source: RNAcentral